RNAcentral lists this transfer RNA (72 nucleotides) under Camelus bactrianus (Bactrian camel). It matches the Rfam family "tRNA". From Rfam's summary of the family: Transfer RNA (tRNA) molecules are approximately 80 nucleotides in length. Their secondary structure includes four short double-helical elements and three loops (D, anti-codon, and T loops). RNAcentral also lists the same sequence under 2 other names. Lineage: Eukaryota; Metazoa; Chordata; Mammalia; Artiodactyla; Camelidae. The record is from Rfam by way of RNAcentral.
GGGGGUAUAGCUCAGUGAUAGAGCACAUGCUCACCAUGCACAAAGUCCUGGGUUCAAUUCCUAGUACCUCCA